AGCUUUGCGCAGUGGCAGUAUCGUUGCCAAUGAGGUUUAUCUGAGGCAAGCUUAUUGCUAAUUAAAAUAAAACUUGUGACACUUUCUGGUUACUUAAUGGUCAG
RNAcentral lists this small nuclear RNA (104 nucleotides) under Vulpes vulpes (red fox). Its description in RNAcentral is "U4 spliceosomal RNA (ENSVVUG00000027379.1)". It matches the Rfam family "U4 spliceosomal RNA". From Rfam's summary of the family: U4 small nuclear RNA (U4 snRNA) is a component of the major U2-dependent spliceosome. The structure of U4 snRNA from yeast and human has been reported. The record is from RNAcentral. Lineage: Eukaryota; Metazoa; Chordata; Mammalia; Carnivora; Canidae.